GGUAACUCAGUGGUGGAGCAUCUGCUUUGCAUGCAGAAGGUCCCAGGUUCAAUUCUUGGCAUCUCCA
Molecule: non-coding RNA, 67 nt
Organism: Podarcis lilfordi (Lilford's wall lizard)
Lineage: Eukaryota; Metazoa; Chordata; Lepidosauria; Squamata; Lacertidae
Source: the annotation of a GenBank genome assembly